GGACUGCAAACGUCAAACGGACUCCCGAUCUAGCGACAAAUGGACUUUCAAAACAGAAAAAAAGUAUGAAUAAAACUAUAAGAGUUUAUGUGCUGAUGCCAGAGGCAUUAAGAUAUGGUGUAGCAAUAGAAACCAUGCCUAGGUAAAUUCUGGAACAAACAGAGUUGUGUGGUGUUCAAUAAACUCAAAUUGACCAACAACCGCAAGCCUUCCCAACGUGACCAAAUACCUUUGCAUUCAAUGCAUCGUUACCAGCCAAAAUUAUAUGUUCAACCUAUUCCAAAUGAUUGCAGAGAAGCCUUCAACAAUUGUAACGACUGGUGGAGGACGUUCUGCCGAAGACGAAGCUCAGCCAUAUCGCUCACCUUUCCUGAAACUCAAUUCAUCACCGUUACUGCCUACCAAAAUCGACAGAUAGACGCAUUCAAUUAUAGAUGUUGCUCGUUUGAUCAACUCAUAAAUUCAAACUGAAAAAUUAACGUAUGCAUUUCGAUACCAGAUCACUAGACUGAAAAUUGCUAGCAAUCCCUUCGCCAAAGGUUUUCGCGAAUCGAGUCGUGAACCAAGGAAUUCUGAUGCCAAAGAGGACGACGACGCACAACGUGAUAAUAAGAAAAUACGCAUUUCAUCGAGCAGCAAAGACAACAACACGAGCAAUUUUCCUCUUACAAAUAUGAAUUCAUGGCAUCCGUUUGACUAUCGCGCCGUUCACCAGCCGAUAUACCAUUGGUGGAUUCAACAGUACUCCAUUUUACAUCCUUUCAUACCCAUAGUUCCAUCACUGCCUCAUGGACAAACGGAAGAGGCCUUACAACAUUGUUUUUUCUCUGACUCAACAUUUGUUUAAACCGUUUCCGUUGUAUUUAUGGUGAUUCAAAUAAAAAUACGUUAGCAGGCCUUCAA
Daphnia carinata is the source of this 903-nucleotide long non-coding RNA. RefSeq lists it as uncharacterized. NCBI's taxonomy places the organism in Eukaryota, Metazoa, Arthropoda, Branchiopoda, Diplostraca, Daphniidae. The record is from RefSeq and is a predicted model, not a curated record. The transcript has 5 exons.